Molecule: ribosomal RNA, 397 nt
Filed under: uncultured bacterium
Lineage: Bacteria
Description: partial 16S ribosomal RNA
Rfam family: Bacterial small subunit ribosomal RNA
Source: RNAcentral
AUACGUAGGUGACAAGCGUUAUACGGAUUUACUGGGCGUAAAGGGCGUGUAGGCGGUCUUGCAAGUCAGAAGUGAAAUUCCUGAGCUCAACUCGGGCGCUGCUUCUGAAACUGCAGGACUUGAGUGCUGGAGGGGAUAGCGGAAUUCCUAGUGGAGCGGUAAAAUGCGCAGAUAUUAGGAAGAACACCGGGGGCGAAGGCGCAUAUCUGCCCAGUACCAGACGCUCAGGCGCGAGAGCGUAGGGGGAAGACAGGCUUAGUUACCCGGGUAUUCCACGCCGUAAACGAUGAAUACUAGGUGUAGGGGGUAUCGACUCCCUCUGUGCCGCAGUUAACACAAUAAGUAUUCCGCCUGGGGAGUACGGCCACACGGUUGAAACUCAAAUGAAUUGACGGGG